CAGCAGCCGCGGUAAUACGUAGGGUGCAAGCGUUAAUCGGAAUUACUGGGCGUAAAGCGUGCGUAGGCGGUUAUAUAAGUCAGAUGUGAAAUCCCCGGGCUCAACCUGGGAACUGCAUUUGAGACUGUAUAGCUAGAGUACGGUAGAGGGGGAUGGAAUUCCGCGUGUAGCAGUGAAAUGCGUAGAUAUGCGGAGGAACNCCGAUGGCGAAGGCAAUCCCCUGGACCUGUACUGACGCUCAUGCACGAAAGCGUGGGGAGCAAACAGGAUUAGAUACCCUGGUAGUUCACGCCCUAAACGAUGUCAACUGGUUGUUGGGUCUUAACUGACUCAGUAACGAAGCUAACGCGUGAAGUUGACCGCCUGGGGAGUACGGCCGCAAGGUUGAAACUCAAAUGAAUUGACGG
Molecule: ribosomal RNA, 407 nt
Filed under: beta proteobacterium enrichment culture clone LiUU-16-763
Lineage: Bacteria; Pseudomonadati; Pseudomonadota; Betaproteobacteria
Description: bacterial SSU rRNA
Rfam family: Bacterial small subunit ribosomal RNA
Source: RNAcentral